Molecule: ribosomal RNA, 460 nt
Filed under: uncultured bacterium
Lineage: Bacteria
Description: partial 16S ribosomal RNA
Rfam family: Bacterial small subunit ribosomal RNA
Source: RNAcentral
CCUACGGGAGGCAGCAGUGAGGAAUAUUGGUCAAUGGACGCAAGUCUGAACCAGCCAUGCCGCGUGCAGGAAGACGGCUCUAUGAGUUGUAAACUGCUUUUGUACGAGGGUAAACGCAGAUACGCGUAUCUGUCUGAAAGUAUCGUACGAAUAAGGAUCGGCUAACUCCGUGCCAGCAGCCGCGGUAAUACGGAGGAUUCAAGCUUUAUCCGGAUUUAUUGGGUUUAAAGGGUGCGUAGGCGGUCGGAUAAGUUAGAGGUGAAAUCCCGAGGCUAAACUUCGGAAUUGCCGCUGAUACUGUUCGGCUAGAGAGUAGUUGCGGUAGGCGGAAUGUAUGGUGUAGCAGUGAAAUGCUUAGAUAUCAUACAGAACACCGAUUGCGAAGGCAGCUUACCAAGCUACUUCUGACGUUGAGGCACGAAAGCGUGGGGAGCAAACAGGAUUAGAUACCCCAGUAGUC